RNAcentral lists this ribosomal RNA (587 nucleotides) under uncultured beta proteobacterium. RNAcentral describes it as "bacterial SSU rRNA". It matches the Rfam family "Bacterial small subunit ribosomal RNA", at positions 338 to 916 of the family's 1533-position model. Lineage: Bacteria; Pseudomonadati; Pseudomonadota; Betaproteobacteria. The record is from RNAcentral.
CCUACGGGAGGCAGCAGUGGGGAAUUUUGGACAAUGGGCGAAAGCCUGAUCCAGCCAUGCCGCGUGAGUGAAGAAGGCCUUCGGGUUGUAAAGCUCUUUCGGACGGGAAGAAAUCAUGAGGGCUAAUAUCCCUUGUGGAUGACGGUACCGUAAUAAGAAGCACCGGCUAACUACGUGCCAGCAGCCGCGGUAAUACGUAGGGUGCGAGCGUUAAUCGGAAUUACUGGGCGUAAAGCGUGCGCAGGCGGUUUUGUAAGACAGGCGUGAAAUCCCCGGGCUCAACCUGGGAACUGCGCUUGUGACUGCAUCACUUGAGUACGGCAGAGGGGGGUGGAAUUCCACGUGUAGCAGUGAAAUGCGUAGAGAUGUGGAGGAACACCGAUGGCGAAGGCAGCCCCCUGGGUCGAUACUGACGCUCGUGCACGAAAGCGUGGGUAGCAAACAGGAUUAGAUACCCUGGUAGUCCACGCCCUAAACGAUGUCAACUAGGUGUUGGGUGGGUAAAACCAUUUAGUACCGUAGCUAACGCGUGAAGUUGACCGCCUGGGGAGUACGGCCGCAAGGUUAAAACUCAAAGGAAUUGACGG